UACAGAGGGUGCAAGCGUUAAUCGGAAUUACUGGGCGUAAAGCGCACGUAGGCGGUUUUUUAAGUCAGAUGUGAAAGCCCCGGGCUCAACCUGGGAAUUGCAUUUGAAACUGGAAAACUAGAGUGUGUGAGAGGGGGGUAGAAUUCCAAGUGUAGCGGUGAAAUGCGUAGAGAUUUGGAGGAAUACCAGUGGCGAAGGCGGCCCCCUGGCCCGAUAUUGACGCUGAGGUGCGAAAGCGUGGGGAGCAAACAGG
Molecule: ribosomal RNA, 253 nt
Filed under: uncultured bacterium
Lineage: Bacteria
Description: partial 16S ribosomal RNA
Rfam family: Bacterial small subunit ribosomal RNA
Source: RNAcentral